Molecule: ribosomal RNA, 442 nt
Filed under: uncultured bacterium
Lineage: Bacteria
Description: partial 16S ribosomal RNA
Rfam family: Bacterial small subunit ribosomal RNA
Source: RNAcentral
CCUACGGGAGGCAGCAGUGGGGAAUAUUGGGCAAUGGGCGCAAGCCUGACCCAGCGACGCCGCGUGAGGGAAGAAGGCUUUCGGGUUGUAAACUUCUUUUAAGGGGGAAGAACAGAAGACGGUACCCCUUGAAUAAGCCACAGCUAACUACGUGCCAGCAGCCGCGGUAAUACGUAGGUGGCAAGCGUUGUACGGAUUUACUGGGUGUAAAGGGCGUGCAGCCGGGGAGACAAGUCAGAGGUGAAAUCCACGGGUUCAACCCGUGAACUGCAUUUGAAACUGUUUCCCUUGAGUGUCGGAGAGGUAAUCGGAAUUCCUGGUGUAGCGGUGAAAUGCGUAGAUAUAAGGAAGAACACCAGUGGCGAAGGCGGAUUACUGGACGAUAACUGACGGUGAGGCGCGAAAGCGUGGGGAGCAAACAGGAUUAGAUACCCGAGUAGUC